ACUCCUCUCCACAGUGCAAGGGAGAGCUGGGGCUGCUGCCGAGGCAGGAGCUGGCAGAGCCAUCCCCAGCACAUGGGCUGACAUUGGGGCUGGGCUGAACUGAGGGGGAAUCUUCAUUUAUUCUUCACUCCAGAUUUCAGCGUGGCCAAACAAUUUUUUCCCCUUUAAAACAAAAUAAAAGGGUGCACUUUUGCCUUCUGUCUCAAUCUUUUGCAACCUUCCAACACUGCCUCAAACCUGUUUCAGCCGCUUUCUGUUUUGAAACAGUGAAAAGACAAUCAUAAAGCUCUCUAUAAUCUGUCUCACCCAAGUGACUCAUGCAGAAAUGCCACCAGCCUGUGGCAGUGGCCCCGCGGUCCCCAGGGAUGACUCAGAGCGAGUACAGGAGCAUCCAUGCCGGAGCCUGGUGGGAGCCACGGGUAAUUGCAAAGGGCCCAACAGAUAUGGUAAGAGAAAGCUCCCUGGAGAGAGGAAGCACUGCACAGAGAGGGGGCAGCCGUAGAGAUGAGGAUCCAUCCUUACCCUUCACCCAGAAUGGCAGAAUGGUUGUUGUUGGAAAGGGUCUUUGGGGAUCACCUGGUUGAGCUCAAGCAGAGUGGACUUCUUGGGGCUGGGUCCAGCCAGGUCCAUCAGCAGCCCCAGGGCUCCAUGGAAAGCUGCUCUCCUGCUGGCUGACCCCCAGUACGUACUGGUGCAUGGGGUGAUUCCUCCCCAGGAGCAGGACUUUGCAUUUUCACUUGCUGAGCUUUGUAAGGUUCCCACCUGCCCACCUCUCCAGCCUGCUGAGGUCCCUCUGAAGGCCACCAUGGCCAUGUGUCUGCCCAGUGUUCCUGUUUGGGACCACAGAUAUGAAUAUCCCAGAAGAAAACCAGUGGGGAUAACCUAAAAGGUGUCUUCUAUCUUGGAGGUGAAGAUGGAGACCAGACUGCCUGCCCAUCCAAGGUCUGGAGUGACCCUGUGUCUGCCCUGCCCUGGAUGAGGUCCUUGAGGGCUGCCACAAGGUGUGGGACAUGAGCUGGUGACACUGACCCGAAACGGGCAGUGAGGCCACACCAGCCCUGCACCCUCGGCUCAUCUAAGAGCAGGGCUGUGGUCUGAGCAUCGUUGGCUCUGAUCAAACAGGGGCUUAGAAGAGACCUCCACGCAUGGCUGGGGCUGAAAAGCAGAGCUGCGUCAUGGGGAACAACAGGCAGCUGUCUCCGCUACCAGUGUGUGCUGCUUAUCGGCAGGGCAGUGAGAAGGCUCCAUUUAGGGCUGUGUUUGCUUUGCCCAACUGCGGUGCUGCGAUAGGAGCUGCGGCAAGACACAGCCACUGCCAACGUCAGCACUACGGCUGCCUGCUCCCAUCCCAAACCUCUGCUGGGUCCAGCCCAAAGCCACGUGCCUGCCUUCUCCAGGAUUUCCUCUGUCUGCCCUGCUUAUAUUUGCCCAGUUCACCCCAAUCUGAACCUAUCCGAAAGUCCCCUUCCUGCCUUCCUAAUCCCUCUGUCUCUUUGAAAAGCAAAAAGGGAAUGCUCAGGUUUUGCUUAGUCACUUCCAAAAUGCCCAGCACCAGGGUGAGGAGCUGGGAUUGC
Long non-coding RNA from Oxyura jamaicensis (ruddy duck), 1574 nucleotides. RefSeq lists it as uncharacterized. The transcript is spliced from 3 exons. Lineage: Eukaryota; Metazoa; Chordata; Aves; Anseriformes; Anatidae. The record is from RefSeq and is a predicted model, not a curated record.